Molecule: long non-coding RNA, 723 nt
Filed under: Androctonus crassicauda
Lineage: Eukaryota; Metazoa; Arthropoda; Arachnida; Scorpiones; Buthidae
Source: RNAcentral
GUUGAACUUUGUUGAUGAACAACACUAAGCCACCAAUUAUUUGUUUUCAGUAUCACUCUUGUCUCUCUCUUAUACAUGGAUGCUCUUAUACUACUUUCACCCACAAUAUUGAAAAAACCCAUCAUUACACCCUCUAUAGUCACCUUGAUUCACAAAUAAUGAGGUGGUUCACUUUUGUGAUGAAAUAUAUGCUGAUUAGCAACUCAUAUCACUUCAUUAAUUAUCCUAUAAUGCUGCUGUUCCAGAUAUUUUUGCAAGUUCAAUGACAUUUGCUAAAUCAAACAGCAUACAAUUUCCUCUUCACCAACAAAUAGUCUCUAAGAUAAUCUUAGAUACACUGCUUUUUAAAAAUAACCAAAUCCUUAAAGCUCUAAAGCAGGUAAUAGAAAAGAAACACAUCACAUUAAAGAAAAUAAUAAAGCUGAGGUGAUAGUUUCUAUGGUACAGACAGUACACCUUGAAUUGACAAAGAACAAUUCACAGUUAUCUAUGUCUGGAAUAAUUAUCCUGAUCAAUGUUCAUGUGAAUGUUUUUGAAAUAUCCACUGCUACUUGCAGCCACUUCGAUCAUUGUAACUCCAUGAUGGAAGAAAAUAAUUGGUAAUAUACUUGUUGAUAGAUUUAUAUUGCAGAGGUACUCUUCAGAAAUGAUAACAGAAGUUAAUAUUAUUAUUUUACUGCUUUAAACUAGUUCAUAAAUUUUAAAUAAAUAAAAACAAUUCAG